Molecule: ribosomal RNA, 206 nt
Filed under: uncultured bacterium
Lineage: Bacteria
Description: partial 16S ribosomal RNA
Rfam family: Bacterial small subunit ribosomal RNA
Source: RNAcentral
CUCAGUUCGGAUUGGAGUCUGNAACCCGACUCCAUGAAGCUGGAUUCGCUAGUAAUCGCGCAUCAGCCACGGCGCGGUGAAUACGUUCCCGGGCCUUGUACACACCGCCCGUCAAGCCAUGGAAGCCGGGAAUGCCUGAAGUGCGUGAGCGCAAGCAGCGCCCUAAGGUAAAACCGGUGACUGGGGCUAAGUCGUAACAAGGUACC